GGCGCUUACCACUUUGUGAUUCAUGACUGGGGUGAAGUCGUAACAAGGUAACCGUAGGGGAACCUGCGGUUGGAUCACCUCCUUACCUUAAAGAA
Molecule: ribosomal RNA, 95 nt
Filed under: Escherichia coli
Lineage: Bacteria; Pseudomonadati; Pseudomonadota; Gammaproteobacteria; Enterobacterales; Enterobacteriaceae
Also listed under: 8 other names
Description: partial 16S ribosomal RNA
Rfam family: Bacterial small subunit ribosomal RNA (bases 1-85)
Source: RNAcentral